GGCAGUGUGGCAUAGUGGUAAGGUGCGGGGCUCGUAACCAAAAGGUUGCCGGUUCAAUUCCCUGCUGGAGCACUGCUG
This 78-nucleotide transfer RNA is filed under the name Megalops atlanticus (tarpon). Its description in RNAcentral is "tRNA-OTHER". The record is from RNAcentral. Lineage: Eukaryota; Metazoa; Chordata; Actinopteri; Elopiformes; Megalopidae.